GUGCCGGGCAGCAGGCAGAGCCCUCUGCAGCAGAGAGGGGUCUCGAGCUCAAAGAUAAAAGGCAGGCACAUAUACUAAAACUGGGAUGACCAGAGGAGAUCAGCAUGGCCCCUGCACAAGGAUAACAUGCAAAUCUGUGAAGCAUUCCAUUUCUUU
This 156-nucleotide small nuclear RNA is filed under the name Bos mutus (wild yak). Lineage: Eukaryota; Metazoa; Chordata; Mammalia; Artiodactyla; Bovidae. The record is from RNAcentral.